This 2042-nucleotide ribosomal RNA is filed under the name Staphylococcus aureus. RNAcentral describes it as "partial 23S ribosomal RNA". It matches the Rfam family "Bacterial large subunit ribosomal RNA", at positions 844 to 2888 of the family's 2925-position model. The record is from RNAcentral. Lineage: Bacteria; Bacillati; Bacillota; Bacilli; Caryophanales; Staphylococcaceae.
GAUAGCUGGUUCUCUCCGAAAUAGCUUUAGGGCUAGCCUCAAGUGAUGAUUAUUGGAGGUAGAGCACUGUUUGGACGAGGGGCCCCUCUCGGGUUACCGAAUUCAGACAAACUCCGAAUGCCAAUUAAUUUAACUUGGGAGUCAGAACAUGGGUGAUAAGGUCCGUGUUCGAAAGGGAAACAGCCCAGACCACCAGCUAAGGUCCCAAAAUAUAUGUUAAGUGGAAAAGGAUGUGGCGUUGCCCAGACAACUAGGAUGUUGGCUUAGAAGCAGCCAUCAUUUAAAGAGUGCGUAAUAGCUCACUAGUCGAGUGACACUGCGCCGAAAAUGUACCGGGGCUAAACAUAUUACCGAAGCUGUGGAUUGUCCUUUGGACAAUGGUAGGAGAGCGUUCUAAGGGCGUUGAAGCAUGAUCGUAAGGACAUGUGGAGCGCUUAGAAGUGAGAAUGCCGGUGUGAGUAGCGAAAGACGGGUGAGAAUCCCGUCCACCGAUUGACUAAGGUUUCCAGAGGAAGGCUCGUCCGCUCUGGGUUAGUCGGGUCCUAAGCUGAGGCCGACAGGCGUAGGCGAUGGAUAACAGGUUGAUAUUCCUGUACCACCUAUAAUCGUUUUAAUCGAUGGGGGGACGCAGUAGGAUAGGCGAAGCGUGCGAUUGGAUUGCACGUCUAAGCAGUAAGGCUGAGUAUUAGGCAAAUCCGGUACUCGUUAAGGCUGAGCUGUGAUGGGGAGAAGACAUUGUGUCUUCGAGUCGUUGAUUUCACACUGCCGAGAAAAGCCUCUAGAUAGAAAAUAGGUGCCCGUACCGCAAACCGACACAGGUAGUCAAGAUGAGAAUUCUAAGGUGAGCGAGCGAACUCUCGUUAAGGAACUCGGCAAAAUGACCCCGUAACUUCGGGAGAAGGGGUGCUCUUUAGGGUUAACGCCCAGAAGAGCCGCAGUGAAUAGGCCCAAGCGACUGUUUAUCAAAAACACAGGUCUCUGCUAAACCGUAAGGUGAUGUAUAGGGGCUGACGCCUGCCCGGUGCUGGAAGGUUAAGAGGAGUGGUUAGCUUCUGCGAAGCUACGAAUCGAAGCCCCAGUAAACGGCGGCCGUAACUAUAACGGUCCUAAGGUAGCGAAAUUCCUUGUCGGGUAAGUUCCGACCCGCACGAAAGGCGUAACGAUUUGGGCACUGUCUCAACGAGAGACUCGGUGAAAUCAUAGUACCUGUGAAGAUGCAGGUUACCCGCGACAGGACGGAAAGACCCCGUGGAGCUUUACUGUAGCCUGAUAUUGAAAUUCGGCACAGCUUGUACAGGAUAGGUAGGAGCCUUUGAAACGUGAGCGCUAGCUUACGUGGAGGCGCUGGUGGGAUACUACCCUAGCUGUGUUGGCUUUCUAACCCGCACCACUUAUCGUGGUGGGAGACAGUGUCAGGCGGGCAGUUUGACUGGGGCGGUCGCCUCCUAAAAGGUAACGGAGGCGCUCAAAGGUUCCCUCAGAAUGGUUGGAAAUCAUUCAUAGAGUGUAAAGGCAUAAGGGAGCUUGACUGCGAGACCUACAAGUCGAGCAGGGUCGAAAGACGGACUUAGUGAUCCGGUGGUUCCGCAUGGAAGGGCCAUCGCUCAACGGAUAAAAGCUACCCCGGGGAUAACAGGCUUAUCUCCCCCAAGAGUUCACAUCGACGGGGAGGUUUGGCACCUCGAUGUCGGCUCAUCGCAUCCUGGGGCUGUAGUCGGUCCCAAGGGUUGGGCUGUUCGCCCAUUAAAGCGGUACGCGAGCUGGGUUCAGAACGUCGUGAGACAGUUCGGUCCCUAUCCGUCGUGGGCGUAGGAAAUUUGAGAGGAGCUGUCCUUAGUACGAGAGGACCGGGAUGGACAUACCUCUGGUGUACCAGUUGUCGUGCCAACGGCAUAGCUGGGUAGCUAUGUGUGGACGGGAUAAGUGCUGAAAGCAUCUAAGCAUGAAGCCCCCCUCAAGAUGAGAUUUCCCAACUUCGGUUAUAAGAUCCCUCAAAGAUGAUGAGGUUAAUAGGUUCGAGGUGGAAGCAUGGUGACAUGUGG